Molecule: long non-coding RNA, 2258 nt
Organism: Chrysemys picta bellii (western painted turtle)
Lineage: Eukaryota; Metazoa; Chordata; Testudines; Emydidae
Source: RefSeq, a predicted model, not a curated record
CAGAUUAUUUUGCUUGUGAGAGGAAAGUAAUAGCUCUGUAAUGUCCCUCUUCUCCUUCCAGGUCCUUUAGACUGGAUGUUUGCUUUAUUUAUUGGGUUUGCUAUAAAUAGAGGCUCUGCUCGUCUGUAUCCCUGCUUCAUAAGCCUCCUGGGAAGAAAGAAGGACUUUCUUUGAGCAGAUGCACAUGAUACUCCAGAGGACUGGUUGGUGGAGAAGCUAUAGCUUCAUGAGAUCAGACAACAGUUCACACAUGUAGAAGACAUGUGCAACUACUUGCCAUGGAAGAAUCCUGUAAUUAUAACAGGUGUUUUUGAACUGAGCCCUUUAGCUUUAUCCAUUUAACCUUUAUAGGUACCCAGGAAACAGAGCAGUGCUGUGAAACCAAAAUCGUUACGUUGAAUGAAUUCAUUACUGUUGGACUCGCCCCUCCAUGAAAUAGCACUAUGCAGCCAAUUGGAGUUCAUGGUCACAGCCCUUUAUUGGAUCAUCAGGGUUUAUAGUCCAUAAAAAAUACAAAUACAGAACGAAACAAUAACAAUAUGCUACCUCUGACCUACUAUUCCAUCUUAUGAGAUUUUGUCUCUGUCAUGUAUGCCGGAGUAUAGUGACUGACUGUACCCUUUGUUAAGAGGCAGCCUGUGCCCUGCCUAUGGGUUUCAACAUUCCAUUGCCCCAAAAUGGAGCAGUCACUUAGGAUGUAGAAAAUUGUGAGGGACAUGCUGGCUAAUUGAGGCAGGGUCUCAAAAAAAAAAGUACUGUUGGUUAUGGCCUAAUAUGAAUAUUAGCUGCUGCUAUAGCUAUUACAACAUCAGUGAGUUAUUUUCAUAUGAUUCUGCUUUCUAGAGGUGUGUAGAAGUUGAACUGGGACUGCUAAACACUACUGAAAUGUUCAGCUAAACAAAGCUGUCACCAGGAGCUCUGUUUUCCAAGAUGGAUAAUUUAGCCCAAUUUUCAGGCAAAGGUACCUUAAAGGAAAGUUGAAAUUUCAAUAUUUGGACAUUUUAAUCCAUCCUUUAAGCAGAUAAUAUGGCCAUUUAUAUGCCUUCCAAAUUGAUCAUGGAAAUGCAGGAUUUGGCCAGUCCAUAUUUGCAAAUUAGUCUCUCAUAGUUCACAUAAAGGUUGCUCCUUAAAUAUUGCAAAAUGUUCAUCUAUUAAGCGUAUCGCUUCUUUUAAAAUCCACAUUAAAUUCCUAUUUGAGAUCCUCCAUAUAAAGCUUUAGCUCACAUGCAGCAUUCUCCAGAGGAACCUCGCAUUGAGCGUAACCCCAGGAGAUCAGCAACAAACACAGGGCAUUAGAUCAGUUCUUUGAUGUCUCUUUAUAUUUAACCCCAAAGAAAAUUAAAAGGUGAUCUCAAACACUGGUGAACAGGUGGCAACAAGGGCUGCAUUUCUAUUGUUUAAACUUGUGCUCAUAUAUGUGAACCUGCAUGGAUGUGUGUCAUUUAAAAUCAGCUACCGCCACCCACCUAUCUUACCAGGUGGAAAACUUGAUCAGACCUACAGUGUGGACAGCUACAGAGGGAGGGGGAGAGUUGUAUGCCUGGAAACACAGACAUGGGCCCCUCCUUCUCCAGAAGGAGAUGGGAGCAUAUUGGCCCUUCACUGUCCUCCCCUCAUUAAUUUAGAACCCUACCCAGGCUUUUUCUCCCUUUAUCUGCUCCCCGCUUUCUCCCAGUAGUUGUAAUAUAAAAGCUGAGUUUUUAAGAUGCUACACGUCUGACUGAUCACCUGUUUUGGAGUCAAGAAGGAAUUUUUCCUAUUGGAGCCAAAUUGACAGAGACCCGGUGGGAUUUUUUGCCUUCCUUGCAGAAUCAUGGAUGCACAGUUGGUGAAAUAGCAGUAGGGUUUAGAUAUUAAUAUUAGUAACUUGUAAGAAUGUGGUUUUUUAAUUAAUUGCAAAGUGUGGCUGGUGUCCAGUUUAAGGCCUCAAAGGCCAGGUCUUUGAGGCAUGGGCAGCAGGUAGCAUAGGCCUCUCCAAACAGCCUGGUGUCGCCCCACCCACCCUUUGCCCCCAGGCUCCCUCCUGCCUGCUUCCAGUUCCCUUCCUGCUCUUCUAUGGUGGAGAGACUUGGGUUGCUAGUGCUGCUGCUGGUGCUCACAAGGCCCAGGGCUGGAGACACUGGAGCUGGGCCAACGCCAUGCCGCAUGUCCAUCUGCCCAUCUGGAGUUGGGUGCAAUGCCUGUCCAGUGCUCCAGAGCUGGGGGACUCUGGCUGCACUGCCAGCGUGGUGCUCCUGGGGGUGGGGGUGGACCGUCGG